AUUGAACGCUGGCGGCAGGCCUAACACAUGCAAGUCGAGCGGAGCGGCGGACGGGUGAGUAGUGCCUAGGAAUCUGCCUGGUCGUGGGGGAGAACGUCGGGUAACGGGCGCUAAUACCGCAUACUAUCAGAUGAGCGUAGGGCGGAUUAGUCGGUUGGUGGGGUAAAGGCCUACCAAGGCGACGAUCCGGAACUGGUCUGAGAGGAUGAUCAGGGACACUGGAACUGUGACACGGUCCAGACGCCUACGGGAGGGAGCAGUGGGGAAUAUUGGACAAUUGGCGAAAGCCUGAUCCAGCCAUGCCGCGUGUGUGAAGAAGGUGUUCGGAUUGUAAAGGACGUUAAGUUGGGAGGCGUUACCAACAGAAUAAGCACCGGCUAACUUCGUGCCAGCCGCCGCGGUAAUUC
RNAcentral lists this ribosomal RNA (407 nucleotides) under uncultured bacterium. Its description in RNAcentral is "partial 16S ribosomal RNA". It matches the Rfam family "Bacterial small subunit ribosomal RNA", at positions 29 to 526 of the family's 1533-position model. The record is from RNAcentral.